This 254-nucleotide ribosomal RNA is filed under the name uncultured bacterium. RNAcentral's name for it is "partial 16S ribosomal RNA". It matches the Rfam family "Bacterial small subunit ribosomal RNA", at positions 524 to 776 of the family's 1533-position model. The record is from RNAcentral.
UACGGGGGAUGCAAGCGUUAUCCGGAUUUAUUGGGUUUAAAGGGUGCGUAGGCUGUGAGGUAAGUCAGCGGUGAAAUGCCCCCGCUCAACGGGGUGAAGUGCCAUUGAUACUGCCUUGCUGGAAUGCGGAUGCCGUGGGAGGAAUGUGUGGUGUAGCGGUGAAAUGCAUAGAUAUCGAGAGGAACACUCGUGGCGAAGGCGGGUUCCUGGACAUUAACUGACGCUGAGGCACGAAGGCCAGGGGAGCGAAAGGG